GCAGCAGCAGCACCGACCCCGCUGGAACACUCAGCUCCUGCUGAGCAGCAGCAGCACCGACCCCGCUGGAACAGUCAGCUCCUGCUCAGCAGCACCACCGACCCCGCUGGAACACUCAGCUCCUGCUCAGCAGCAGCACCACCGACCCCGCUGGAACACUCAGUUCCUGCUCAGCAGCAGCACCACCGACCCCGCUGGAACACUCAGCUCCUGCUCAGCAGCAGCACCACCGACCCCGCUGGAACACUCAGCUCCUGCGCAGCAGCACCACCGACCCCGCUGGAACACUCAGCUCCUGCUCAGCAGCAGCACCACCGACCCCGCUGGAACACUCAGCUCCUGCUCAGCAGCACCACCGACCCCGCUGGAACACUCAGCUCCUGCUCAGCAGCAGCACCACCGACCCCGCUGGAACACUCAGUUCCUGCUCAGCAGCAGCACCACCGACCCCGCUGGAACACUCAGCUCCUGCUCAGCAGCACCACCGACCCCGCUGGAACACUCAGCUCCUGCUCAGCAGCAGCACCACCGACCCCGCUGGAACACUCAGCUCCUGCUCAGCAGCAGCACCACCGACCCCGCUGGAACACUCAGUUCCUGCUCAGCAGCAGCACCACCGACCCCGCUGGAACACUCAGCUCCUGCUCAGCAGCACCACCGACCCCGCUGGAACACUCAGCUCCUGCUCAGCAGCAGCACCACCGACCCCGCUGGAACACUCAGCUCCUGCUCAGCAGCAGCACCACCGACCCCGCUGGAACACUCAGUUCCUGCUCAGCAGCAGCACCACCGACCCCGCUGGAACACUCAGCUCCUGCUCAGCAGCAGCACCACCGACCCCGCUGGAACACUCAGCUCCUGCUCAGCAGCAGCACCACCGACCCCGCUGGAACACUCAGCUCCUGCUCAGCAGCAGCACCACCGACCCCGCUGGAACACUCAGUUCCUGCUCAGCAGCAGCACCACCGACCCCGCUGGAACACUCAGCUCCUGCUCAGCAGCACCACCGACCCCGCUGGAACACUCAGCUCCUGCUCAGCAGCAGCACCACCGACCCCGCUGGAACACUCAGUGACUAAAAACAAUAGAAUGUGUAAGUGUUUAAACAACUUGAAUGCAUCUGGUUUACUCUUUUCAAACGAGUGA
Molecule: long non-coding RNA, 1146 nt
Filed under: Salmo trutta (river trout)
Lineage: Eukaryota; Metazoa; Chordata; Actinopteri; Salmoniformes; Salmonidae
Description: lncRNA (ENSSTUG00000035522.1)
Source: RNAcentral